Molecule: ribosomal RNA, 468 nt
Filed under: uncultured bacterium
Lineage: Bacteria
Description: partial 16S ribosomal RNA
Rfam family: Bacterial small subunit ribosomal RNA
Source: RNAcentral
GACGAACGCUGGCGGCGUGCUUAACACAUGCAAGUCGAACGGAAAGGCCCUGCUUUUGUGGGGUGCUCGAGUGGCGAACGGGUGAGUAACACGUGAGUAACCUGCCCUUGACUUUGGGAUAACUUCAGGAAACUGGGGCUAAUACCGGAUAGGAGCUCCUGCUGCAUGGUGGGGGUUGGAAAGUUUCGGCGGUUGGGGAUGGACUCGCGGCUUAUCAGCUUGUUGGUGGGGUAGUGGCUUACCAAGGCUGUGACGGGUAGCCGGCCUGAGAGGGUGACCGGCCACAUUGGGCCUGAGAUACGGCGCAGACUCCUACGGGCGGCAGCAGUGGGGAAUAUUGCACAAUGGGCGGGAGCCUGAUGCAGCAACGCCGCGUGCGGGAUGACGGCCUUCGGGUUGUAAACCGCUUUCGCCUGUGACGAAGCGUGAGUGACGGUAAUGGGUAAAGAAGCACCGGCUAACUACGUG